Molecule: RNA transcript, 4616 nt
Organism: Nematostella vectensis (starlet sea anemone)
Lineage: Eukaryota; Metazoa; Cnidaria; Anthozoa; Actiniaria; Edwardsiidae
Exons: 8
Source: RefSeq, a predicted model, not a curated record
ACCGCGGGCGCCUGGACAUAUAAACAUUUGCUCUAACUGUUGCCAUGUCGGUAUACACGACUGGUUAUUAACCGUGUUUAUGCCAAAAAUAGAGCUCUGUUGUCCAAGAAAACUGUGAUCAUGAAGGCUGAAAGAUUCAGAAAUAGGAAUGGCAGAAUAUAAACGGAAUAUUCGCGCCACGACGCUAUGAUAAGAGGCGCGUACUCUGAAAAGUACAAGUCCAUUCAGAGUGAACAGUUGGAAAAGUUGAAAGAGCAAACACGGCCGGAAAGUGAGGAGUUGCGGGAUAGGGCUAGGCAGCUGUCACGGGAGACCAACAAGAGGCGAAAGAAUCUAGAAGAGAAGAAGAAGCAGAAAGAAGCAGCAGAAGAAAGGGAGCGAGCAGCUAUCCUUGCUGAGAGACACAACCAGAAGGAGGAAGCAACUAGAAAGUUCCAGAAGGAUGGUCUCAAGAAGAAGACACCUCCAGAAAGCAGUGUACACAGCAACACAGAUUCACAGCAAAGUCAACAUAGUGAUGGCAGAAUAUCACAGUUGCAGAAUGGUGUGAUACCUACUGUUCCAGCACUUGAAGAUGCUCUAGAACUGAUCAAUAACCCUGAAGCAUUUGACAACUACAUGCACUAUAGAAGCCAGUUCAUUGCACCUUCUUCAGAUAACAGUCUCGGUAGAAGCCAUUAUGGACAAGGGUAUGAAAUGAAUAAUGGUUAUGGACUGUGUGAAACUGGUCGUGGCCUAGGUAAAACAGGUUAUGGACCUGAUAAUCCAGUGUACGAUAUAGGUUAUAAUGGACCUGGACAGAUGAAUACUGGAUACGGACCAGUUACUGCUGGGUAUCCAGGAAACUAUUCCCAACACUAUAACGAGCAAGCUUAUCACCUCCAAAACAACAAUGUUUGCAUAGAGGACGAGAACGCACAAAAGAGAGAAGAAGAAGAGAGACUCAGACAGGAUGUCAUACACAAUGCGGCUCCGAAACUUGCAUUCAUGGACGACAAUGAUGAAUGCACGGAUGGAGCGCUGCCAUCCACCAUGGGGCAUGAGUCACCGGCUGGAAGUCUAACUAGUCUGGAUAGUCUAGACGAAGUACUGCCGGAUGCUACGACAACCUCAAAAAGACUAACACAGAAGCCUACCACACCUGUCACAGGUAUUAUCAACAAGAGGUCAAAGGUGGCGUCCGCAGGACGCCGCAAGGUCACAUUUUCUGACAGUAUCGAAUUUGAUGAUGGCCUUACUGGUCAGUUGGUGACCAUUGAGAAGGAGAGCUGUAAGAAUUAUGUGAACUUGUAUAAUAGCCGCAUAGCUGCAGCCAAUGCUGCGCAGAACACCGUCCCACCAGUUGUGUCAGGUCCGGGUGUUGCCACUCCUGCAGCGCAGGCUGCUUCGAAAGCAGUAUCUGGAAUCCAGGGACAAAGCCUCAAUGUAGUUGGAAGACCAGACAACAAAAACAACAACUCGGUCCAUAGCCCAAGUCCAGGAAAGAGCACCAGUAUGGUAGUCCCAAAGUCUGUGUACUCGCAAAUCAAGCCGCAGAAUGACGAAAAGGGCGCGAAGAAGCAACCCCCUGCACCUAUGCAUGUAGUGACUUGUGGUGAAUCUACGCCCUCUGCUGUUACCCACACCGAGCGUCCCUUACAAGGUAUAGCAGCACCUCACCCUACAAGUAGAGCGGCGUAUAUUACAAACAGCCCUCAGGUGACCACUACAAAUGCAGCUUAUGGUUUUAAUAGAGGUACCGCACCCCAGAUGCCAAGCACGACUAUUGGAGGUCGACAUGAUCAAGCUGGGGGUGGCGGUGGGAUACCCCCAAAUGCUUAUUAUGGUCAUUUAUCCAGCUUAAAUAUUGCUGAUCAGCGUGGAAGGGCGCAUCAAUAUCAACUCUUUGAAGGACCUCCAAUGCAAAGUCCUGGAUCUAACACUGCCCAGCAGGGCACCAAAGUCGAGAAUGCUGAAAAUCAUAGACAUGAGAUGAAGCAUCAGGAUUCUAUUGCUUUGACUUCAGAGCGGUAUAACUCUACGAACCAUAACAAGGGAUUAAACGAUAGUUUAGAGCAAGAGGAUUCUCCCGAAGGUGUCUCGCCAGACUCGGUGGACAGUCUUGACAACAUGUGCGAUAGCCUGGAUGAUGAAGAAAGUGAUACUUGCGAAUAUGAGAAGGAAGCAGUGAAUGGUCAGAUAGUCAACAUGAUGAAUGGUAAACAAGGAGAAGUUCUCAAAGAGGACAACCCCGACUCACCGCGCAGUGUAGAAACGGCAGACUCUGGUAUCGAUUACUACGGCAAGCCAGCGAUCAUUUACCAUCAUCCAUUUGGCGGCAAGAUAACUAAUACUCACCAACCGCAUGCCUAUACUAUAGAGCCAAGGGAUUCUGGGUUAACAACCCUGUCAGGCAAAGCGAAACCUCCUGACCAGCCUGCAAAAUCGGACGGCGCCCUUGGUCAGCUAGCAGAAGACCCUCGAUCUAGGGUGGGGACUCAGCAAAUGGCUAUAAAUGUUGGUCAUGCGGAUCCAGCUUUUGAAGGCGUGGCCUUGUCAGGUUUAGCCCCUACAAACCUGGAGUCCCACAGCACGCCUACCCAGCCAUCUUACUACCGCAGCUGGUAUUCCGGAAGCUUUUUCCCAAAUAGGAAAGAUAAUGCGACUUCUUUGCAAGAAGGGCAACUGGUUAGUACAGGAAACACCCACACUAAAAGUAAGGUUGGAAGUGCGAAGGCCGAGAAAGCACCAUCAAGUGAUUCUAAAAGCCCUUACAUCGCAAAGCCUCCUGCUAAGGGGCCGAACGGUCAACGACCUGCAAAUCGCAGUCAGCUCCAGCGCAAGAGAGCAGCUGCAGCCGCACAGAGAGCCAAAGUGGCGCAAACGAAGACAAGAAAGCCCGCCAGUCAGCAAACCAAGGCACGCCUUGAAGGCACCAGAAGCCAAGGCACGCCAAGCACCAAACACAACUCGCCUUAUAAGGCUCCCUAUGAAAGCAAUAGCGACGAUGAUGAGUUUAUAAAGAACAUCAGACGGAACAUGGAGUCUAUUACGCUUAGAACCACGCCUAGUCCCGCUGCCGAAGAGUACCGAAGAGUCAUGGAAUCCAUUAGUCGACCCAAAGCCAACACUCGUCUUGAGACACCCGACUCGCAGCGCUGCGAUGACGAUCAGAUUAGCGUGGACCAUGCUGCCGAGUUGAAAGCAAAGGGAACAGGAGCUGCUGUGAAGAUCCAUCCCCCAAGGAUAGCAUCCGCUAGGCCUAGGAUCCCAAGGCCUAGUCAGGCAAAUGUCAACACGCCUGGCGAGGUGAUACCACAGGGGAAACCCCCGGUACCCAUCGGCAGGCAUACGCAUGAGGUUUCUCCUCACGCGUUCCAUGACCAGUCCUCACCAUACUCAAACCAAAGCCUUGUAUACCAGCGUCACGGAGUCAACUCUCACGUCCCGAGUAACCAUACUAACGAGGGCUACUCUGGUAGCGAGAUGUAUGGAGCUCACGGCUGGACGAAUAACACAGCCUAUCCACCGUAUGGUCAGUCUACUAAACAAAGCAUCCGCCUUGAUAAGACCCCGACAGAUGACGAGAUCAAUGUUCUGUGGGACAGGGUACGACUGUGCCUUGACCACAAGGACUCCAAGUCAGUUGGAUCCGACUCCUGUGUCAACAGGGUCGACGUCCGACGAUCCAGGACCGCGUCUGGGCCCUUCCCUCAUACAGGGGAACGGGGAUCAAGGCCAGAUAAUGGUCAUUGCCAUACCACGCCCAGUAGCAAUGGUACAGUCGGGGGGCUGCGGAGGUAUGGGUCGUAUGAGGUGCUACGGCGGCACGGCUCGGCCGACAAUAUCGGGUACAGGAGACCUCUUCUGCAGCACAGAGCGCAAAGGGUCAGGACGUCAUCCCAGCAAUACCCCUCCCCGUCAUCCAGUCGGAAGGGUCCCGCCAACACUGUGUCUGCUCGAGCCGUUCAGCCAUUGUCACAGACUGAGGUGCGCGCUGUGCUACAUGCGUCCGAGCGAACACUGGAAGACCCUGGGCAUGCGCAAAGGGCUCAGUACCAGGCUCUCAUCGGCGGCCGAAGAGGCCCAAGUGCGCUGUCGAUAGAGGAACAGCGACUGAUGCAGUCCCUUGACCGGCUCAAUGAAAGACUCAAAGGUGAGCCCUAUGUAACAGGACUGCCGUCGCUACCAGUACUACUAAACGGCAUUGUCGGUACACAGAUCAACCUCGCUAAUCAGACCGCCAAGUGGCAAUAAACAUUUGUUUACAAGCAGCAAAGCUGAGUGAAGCGACCGGCAAAAACGAACACAGAACGCAGUCGGCCCAAGUAAGACAACAGGCUCAACCGAAGCAUCAGCGGUCAUCCUCGGCAACGACCAAAUAUAGAUAGCAUACCACGUGAAAUGAGUCCCAGUCUCUCCGAAAGAAUCCACCAAUCCGCUGCAUGGCUUUGGGAAAGUGCCAUGUGAAUCUCGUGGAAUCCGUCAAUGCUCGGCAUGAACAAAUAAGCGAUGCGGCUAUAGAUAUUGUAUAUGGUUUUUAGCGUGUAUGGAAAAAGACAAAAAGAGUCUUGCUCUAUUUCUAUGGAAAACGCAGAUUAUAUUAAAAGUGUGAAUAAAAGUAUAUUUGCAACAUU